This 73-nucleotide transfer RNA is filed under the name Gemmataceae bacterium. RNAcentral's name for it is "tRNA-Gly". It matches the Rfam family "tRNA". From Rfam's summary of the family: Transfer RNA (tRNA) molecules are approximately 80 nucleotides in length. Their secondary structure includes four short double-helical elements and three loops (D, anti-codon, and T loops). The record is from RNAcentral. Lineage: Bacteria; Pseudomonadati; Planctomycetota; Planctomycetia; Gemmatales; Gemmataceae.
GCGGGUGUAGCUCAAUUGGCAGAGCUCCAGCCUUCCAAGCUGGUUGUUGUGGGUUCGAAUCCCAUCGCCCGCU